GGCGGCGCGCUUACACAUGCAAGUCGAGCGAGAAAGUGGAGCAAUCCAUGAGUAAAGCGGCGUACGGGUGAGUAACACGUGGAUCAUCUACCUUUUAGUGUGGAAUAACCCUGGGAAACCGGGGCUAAUACCGCAUAAGCCUGUUGAAGGGAAAGCAGCAAUGCGCUGGAAGAGGAGUCCGCGGCCGAUUAGCUAGUUGGUGAGGUAACGGCCCACCAAGGCGAUGAUCGGUAGCCGGCCUGAGAGGGCACACGGCCACACUGGCACUGAAACACGGGCCAGACUCCUACGGGAGGCAGCAGUGGGGAAUCUUGCACAAUGGAGGCAACUCUGAUGCAGCGACGCCGCGUGAGCGAUGAAGCCCUUCGGGGUGUAAAGCUCUUUCGGCAGGGACGAUAAUGACGGUACCUGAAGAAGAAGCUGCGGCUAACUGCGUGCCAGCAGCCGCGGUAAUACGUAGGCAGCAAGCGUUGUUCGGAAUUACUGGGCGUAAAGAGUGUGUANGCGGUGCUCUAAGUUCGGUGUGAAAUCUCCUGGCUUAACUGGGA
Molecule: ribosomal RNA, 548 nt
Filed under: uncultured bacterium
Lineage: Bacteria
Description: bacterial SSU rRNA
Rfam family: Bacterial small subunit ribosomal RNA
Source: RNAcentral